Molecule: long non-coding RNA, 2737 nt
Filed under: Homo sapiens (human)
Lineage: Eukaryota; Metazoa; Chordata; Mammalia; Primates; Hominidae
Description: HSALNT0241576
Source: RNAcentral
AAGAAGGAGGGAGGGAGGGAAAUAGAAAGAAAGAAGGAAAGAAAAAGAAAGAAAGAAAGAGAAAUAAAAUAAAAAUUAAAAAACCAUAAGGUUAAAGUAAACCCUUUUUCUUCAUACAGAUUAAAACACAUGACUUCAAAUUACAGCUUUGCUUCUUAAUAGCUUGGUGAUGUAGGACGUUAUGUAACCUCUCUGUGCCUCAGUUUCCUCAUUUAUAAAAUAGGGCAAUAAUAAUAUCUAGCCCAUAAGGCAUUGUGAGGAUUAAAUGUGAAAUGCUGAUCACAAAUACCUAGCAGCCCAAUAGAUACUCACUGUAAUAAUUAUUAUUUUUAUAAUUUCUGCAAAAGUAUGGUGAUGAUUCUUGGGUUAACCUAAAGGCAGAUUUUCUUUUAUUUCUUCCUGUUUCUUUUCUUUUCCUUGUUCACUUUAAAGAAUUAAAAAGAAAAUUGAUUCCAGCAUUUUGGAAUAAAAAUUUGCAUCAAAAAGAAUUUAUUCAUUUUAUUGACAUACAAAUAAAAUGUCAUUUGUUUAUUCAAUAAACAUUUAUUAAAUGUCUGGUAAAUUUCAGACAUCAUGCCAGGCACAGGGAUGACAAUGACAAUAAGAUGUGGUCUCUGCCCUCAGGGAGCUGAUAGUCCAGGAGACUGACAAGUAGACAGGUGAUUACAUGCAAUGUAACAAAGGCUAUGAUGUCAUACAAGAAGACAAGUGGGAGUAUGUGAUGGGAGUAUGGUUUUGACCAGUUCCUCCUCUUAGAUUUAUCCCUUUUUCUUUGGCUAUAAAGCAAAAGAAUUGGUCCUAUUUUUUUUUCUUAACUUUGCAAAUUAAACCAUAAAUUUUAAUAACUUUAUAAAGAUAAAAGGCAAGCGGUCAGAUUCAGUGGCUCACACCUAUAAUCCCAACACUUUGGGAGGCCGAGGCAGGUGGAUAACCUGAGAUCAGGAGUUCGAGACCAGCCUGGCCAACAUCGCGAAACCCUGUCUCUACUAAAAAUACAAAAAUUAGCUAGGUGUGGUGGCAGGCACCUGUAAUCCCAGCUACUCAGGAGGCUGAGGCAGGAGAAUCGCUUGAACCUGGGAGGCGGAGUUUGCAGUGAGAUGAGAUGGAGCCAUUGCUCUCCAGCCUGGGCUACAGAGCAAGACUCUGUCUCAAAACAAAACAAAACAAAACAAAACAAAAAGAUGAGCAACUUGAAUUAUGGAGGACACUAGAAAUAGUGUUUCCUACAGAAUCAGGGCUUCCUACCAACAUAGUCACUUCUAGGGUUUUCGACCUGAAAAGUUCUGUGGCAUAUUGUUUCUUUGCUAUCCACUUUUUUUUCCCUAUUUUUCCCCCUCUUUCUCUCCUCUACUUUAUCUCCUAGAGAUCUAGGUAGUUCCCAAAGGAAUAAUGCUUUACGGAGUCUAAUGUUGAUUUAUUAGGUAAAAACAGAAAAUGACUUUUUUUUUUACCCACAAGUUCCAUACCAAAAAAUGAAUGUAAACUUCUUAUGCAGUUUCACACAUUGAAAAUGCAGGUUAUUUUAAUUCCAUUGCAUUUUUCAGAAUUCUCAAUCGCAAUCCUCUGACAACUGUUGAAGAUCCGUAUCUCUUUAAAUUACUGGCAUUAAAAUAUCUAGACGUGGGAACAACGCAAGUCCCACUUACAACACUUAAGAACAUUCUCAUGAUGACCGUUGAACUGGAAAAACUGCCCCAGGACCUCCAAGCAACUUCCUCUCCUUCAUCAGCAGUUGCCAGCAGUCAUCCUCUGGGCUCUGCCAGCAAGUUGGCAGCAGGGUAGGAUUCACACCCCUUGGCUUCUACCUCACAGUUACCACCAAAGGCCUUUCCAAUUUAAAAAAGCAAUUUUAGAAAUUGAACCAGAGGAAUAACCACCAUGUACAAAUCAAAAAGCAUAGAGGGGCUUAUAAUGAGAAGUUGUGCUCCUCUGUCCUACCUUAACUCCCUCUGAAAUCCAGGCUCCCUAUGAUCAAUCCCCUUGACCUUUCAGUUCUCUGGGUAGAUUUCUUUUCUUUUCUUUUCUUUCUUUCUUUCUUUUUUUUUUUUUGAGACAGAGUCUUGCUGUUGCCCAGGUUGGAGUGCAGUGGUGGGAUCUCAGCUCACUGCAACCUCCUCCUCCUGGGUUCAAAUGAUUUUCCUGCCUCAGCCUCCCGAGUAGCUGGGAUUACAGGUGCCCACCCUUACGCCUAGCUAAUUUUUGUAUUUUUAGUAGAGACAAGGUUUUACCAUAUUGGCCAGGCUGGUCUGGAACUCCUGACCUAACCGCCCACCUCAGCCUCCCAAAAGUGCUAGGAUUACGGACAUGAGCCACCAUGCCUGGUCUGGGUAGAUUUUUUUUCUUUUGAGAUGGAGUCUCGUUCUUGUCGCCCAGGCUGAAGUGUAGUGGUGUGGUCUCCACUCACUGCAACCUCCGCCUCCCACGUUCAAGUGAUUCUUCUGCCUCAGCCUCCAGAGUAGCUGGGACUUACAGGCGUGCACCACCAUGCCUGGCUAAUUUUUGUAUUAUUAGUGGAGAUGGGGUUUCACCAUGUUGGCCAGCUGGUCUCGAACUCCUGACCUCAGAUGAUCCACCCGCCUUGGCCUUCCCAAGUGCUGGGAUUACAGGCAUAAGCCACCAUGCCCAGCCUGGGUAGCUUUCUUAUACUGCUCUUUCUUGUUUUAUCAACUUUCAUUUAAGCCCUGUGAUGGCAAAUGAGAGCCAAGCUCACUUAACCAUUUUCCCACCUCCAUUUUUG